UUGAACGCUGGCGGCAGGCCUAACCCAUGCAAGUCGAGCGGAUGAAGGGAGCUUGCUCCUGGAUUCAGCGGCGGACGGGUGAGUAAUGCCUAGGAAUCUGCCUGGUAGUGGGGGAUAACGUCCGGAAACGGGCGCUAAUACCGCAUACGUCCUGAGGGAGAAAGUGGGGGAUCUUCGGACCUCACGCUAUCAGAUGAGCCUAGGUCGGAUUAGCUAGUUGGUGGGGUAAAGGCCUACCAAGGCGACGAUCCGUAACUGGUCUGAGAGGAUGAUCAGUCACACUGGAACUGAGACACGGUCCAGACUCCUACGGGAGGCAGCAGUGGGGAAUAUUGGACAAUGGGCGAAAGCCUGAUCCAGCCAUGCCGCGUGCGUGAAGAAGGUCUUCGGAUUGUAAAGCACUUUAAGUUGGGAGGAAGGGCAGUAAGUUAAUACCUUGCUGUUUUGACGUUACCAACAGAAUAAGCACCGGCUAACUUCGUG
This 483-nucleotide ribosomal RNA is filed under the name uncultured bacterium. Its description in RNAcentral is "partial 16S ribosomal RNA". It matches the Rfam family "Bacterial small subunit ribosomal RNA", at positions 30 to 507 of the family's 1533-position model. The record is from RNAcentral.